UACGGAGGAUGCGAGCGUUAUCCGGAUUUAUUGGGUUUAAAGGGUGCGUAGGCGGGAUGCCAAGUCAGCGGUAAAAAUGCGGUGCUCAACGCCGUCGAGCCGUUGAAACUGGCGUUCUUGAGUGGGCGAGAAGUAUGCGGAAUGCGUGGUGUAGCGGUGAAAUGCAUAGAUAUCACGCAGAACUCCGAUUGCGAAGGCAGCAUACCGGCGCCCUACUGACGCUGAGGCACGAAAGCGUGGGUAUCGAACUGG
RNAcentral lists this ribosomal RNA (252 nucleotides) under uncultured bacterium. Its description in RNAcentral is "partial 16S ribosomal RNA". It matches the Rfam family "Bacterial small subunit ribosomal RNA", at positions 524 to 776 of the family's 1533-position model. The record is from RNAcentral.